ACGACACAGCAAUGUCUCUAGCUUCGAGCUGACCGACUUUCGGGCCAGAUCUCCGGUCUGACCAACAAUAAACAGGGUUAAAAACAGAGAGACUCACCCCCAGAACCCGCAGGGGCAUCGAGGCGCUAACGCCGGCGCUUUGCUGCGCUCACUGCCCUCCAUGGAACCACGCAAGACCGAGGACGAAGAUGAGGCCUACCCCUUAAAAACGGUUGAAGACAGAAAAUAAGCACAGCCAUACAGCAGCUCAUGGAAAUCAGUCGUUUGCACCGUCUUACUACAACGAAGCAUUAAGUAGCUGCGACUCUUACCCAGAAGCCCUUUCUCCAGGGUGAAGGGAUGCUGAGUGAACAUGCACUCAAAGGCCACAAGAUGGAAGACCUUGUUUACAGUAUUGUGUGUUCCAACAAUGCGCACGUACCUGCAACACAAACAUCACACUGAAUCAACUCAGUGACUUCAAAUUUUCAAUUUUGGAGAUACGAGGUUCAGCAGAGCAAGACGUUCCGGCCAACUGUAUGCUUUCAACCUUGUGUGAACCGUGAACAGGACUAUGUUCAACCACAAUGCCUAUGGAUUUAAAAGGGCUCCUGUAGGUGUAACGUGUAGAUGUCCCAAUACUUUUGUCCAUACAGUAUGUGUGGGUGGCUGUUUUGGAAGGAAACCGUUUACCUGCACACUCGGGGAGGAAAGUAGAGAUUCUGCCAGGAGCGGCAAAGGAACUUUGAGUGAUCCACCACUCGCACCCAGUCCAGCUCAUCCAUAGACACUUCUAUGUAAUAUGAGUAGGACCUACAAAGAGAGAAAGAGAAGCCCAGAGAAAUGAUUUGAUGCAAUAUUUUUAUAUUAAAGGAACAGUUCAGCCAAAA
Long non-coding RNA from Pygocentrus nattereri (red-bellied piranha), 869 nucleotides. RefSeq lists it as uncharacterized. The transcript is spliced from 3 exons. NCBI's taxonomy places the organism in Eukaryota, Metazoa, Chordata, Actinopteri, Characiformes, Serrasalmidae. The record is from RefSeq and is a predicted model, not a curated record.